This 520-nucleotide ribosomal RNA is filed under the name uncultured Scutellospora. RNAcentral describes it as "SSU rRNA". It matches the Rfam family "Eukaryotic small subunit ribosomal RNA", at positions 569 to 1092 of the family's 1831-position model. The record is from RNAcentral. Lineage: Eukaryota; Fungi; Glomeromycota; Glomeromycetes; Diversisporales; Gigasporaceae.
AGCAGCCGCGGUAAUUCCAGCUCCAAUAGCGUAUAUUAAAGUUGUUGCAGUUAAAAAGCUCGUAGUUGAAUUUCGGGGUUCUACCGUUGGUCGGGCUACCAAGUCUGUACUGGUGUGUAGAAUUCCUACCUUCUGGGGAACUAUCAUGUUAUUAAUUUAGCGUGGUGGGAAACCAGGACCUUUACCUUGAAAAAAUUAGAGUGUUCAAAGCAGGCUUAUGUCUGAAUACAUUAGCAUGGAAUAAUAGAAUAGGACGGUGGUCCUGUUUUGUUGGUUUCUGAAUCACCGUAAUGAUUAAUAGGGAUAGUUGGGGGCAUUAGUAUUCAAUUGUCAGAGGUGAAAUUCUUGGAUUUAUUGAAGACUAACUUCUGCGAAAGCAUUUGCCAAGGAUGUUUUCAUUAAUCAAGAACGAAAGUUAGGGGAUCGAAGACGAUCAGAUACCGUCGUGGUCUUAACCAUAAACUAUGCCGACUAGGGAUCGGACGAUGUUAAAUUUUAUUGACUCGUUCGGCGCCUUACG